UGCAGGUAAGGAGGUGCAUGCCCAUUUAUGCAUAUAUGGGUGAGUAUAAGGACUUUGAAGUCAAUCCGGAAAGAGACAGGGAGCCAGUUUAGUGAGUGUAAUAUUGGUGUUAUGUGCUCAUAUUUCCGGACCUUCAUCAGGAUCCUUAAUAAUAAUAAUAAUAAUAAUAAGAAUUAUUGUCUUCCGGGACGCGACACAUUUUAAGUGAGAACAUGUUUAUUGUCAUCAUUUGUGUUGCUGUGUGACAAUAUGAAAAUGUCAAAAAUGAGAUAGUUCUUUAUAUUUGAUGGCUUGGCAUUGGUAAACAUUUCUGACAAAUCUUUGGCACCAUAAAACAAAACAAAACGAACAUUCGGACGAUACAAAAUACACAUCAUGUAAUACAAUAGGAUAUAUUUUUGCAAUAGCAGUUACAUUUAUAUAUUGCGGUAAAAAAGCAAAUAUAUUAAAUGGGAUUACAGAUACAUAAAAAUCCUUCAUUUAGAACAUUUCAGAAUCCUUCCUUUCAAUGUUUGGAUAAUAAUUAUGAGUACACAGGAAAAUCUAGAGAGCAAAUGUGUGUGUGUGUGUGUGUGUGAUUGUAAUCAAUGCAAGCAAUGACCAUUACACUGAUUUGAGCUUCUCUUACAGACAUUUUUAACUUCAUGGUCAAGUGAUUCGGUAGGUAAAAGGUAAACAAAACAAUAAGAGGAAAAUAACACAAAGAAACCACCGUCUCUAAGGCACUGCAGUGAGACCUGCACUGUAAUCUUCAGAUUGUUCCAGAAGACUCAAUGGGGCUUCUUCCACUGCCUGGUGAGGUCAGUUUGCUUGCAAUGUCUCAGACCACUGCUAACCCUGUGUCUCUCUCCAGCUCUGAUCUGAGACAGACCUGAGCCGGAUGAGAGCCAGGUCUGAGCCGGAUGAGAGCCAGGUCUGAGCCGGAUGAGAGCCAGGUCUGAGCCGGAUGAGAGCCAUCCAUUCCAGCCCAGCAGACAAGCACAGUCCCACACCAGACUCGAACUCGCAACCUUGGACGUGGGAGGCGGGCGUGCUAGCAAGGAUGCUAAAACCGCUAGUCGCUAGCACGCUGGUCUCUUAAGCUGUCGGGGAGUGAGGUUGACGCCUCCAUGACGUGCACCACAAGAACUACACAAUCAAGAAAAUACUAGUGAAGACUAAAUACAGAACACGUGGCAUACCUGACACCAAAAAGAAAUACACAGAAGUGGGAGCUAGCGAGUGAGCGAGCGAGCGAGCGAGCCAGACGCUCCUCUGUCGCGGGACAGUAGCAAAAGCCGCGUCAGGGCCACAUCAGGGCCGCAUCAGGGCCGCAUCAGGGCCACGUCUGUUCGGGAGUAUGCAGCUAUCUGUGUUUGCUUGGUCAUUCAGAUCGAUUGAAGAUGAGGUUAAAUGAGUCUAUUCACCCAUUUGAACUCACCAUAAUGUAAAAAAAGGACACCAAGACUUGGCAUCUUCCCUGUAUACCUGCUGCCAUUAUGGUGCGGAUGUUUUUGUUCUAUCUGUUGGGUCAGCUUUGGCAGCCUACCCCUCAACUGGAAUGUCCCUUCGAAGGCCAUUAAUAAUUAUAUAAUUAUAGUAAUCAAUAAUUGAGCUUUUGGUGAGUCUAUUAUCUCUGUCUGGUUUCUCUCACAGCCCCGGUACCUCCAGAGCUGGAGAGAGACUGUCUAUUACAAAAGAUGAGAACAAAAGAUGAUAACAAAGACAGAAAGCCUAUGAAAAGAGUUAUAACCCUAUGAAAAGAGUUAUAACCCUAUGAAAAGAGUUAUAACCCUAUGCAAAGAGUUAUAACCCUAUGAAAAGAGUUAUAACCCUAUGCAAAGAGUUAUAACCCAAUGAAAAGAGUUAUAAGCCUUAGAAACAGAGGGAAGGGAGAGGAGAGGACACCGACUCAGGGAUGGAAAACAGAACGAGUCCCUUUUUCUUUUCUUUAUUCCCUCGUUCUUUUUUCUCUCGUUCAGCUGUGUUGGCAGUGUCGGUCUCCACCCUUCUCCGCCCGUUUCCUGAGCACUCUCCGCCUCUCCUUUCCUCUCCUCCCGCAUCGGUAUGGCGUGUGUCCUCCCUCUCUUUUCCCCUCUC
This is a long non-coding RNA of Clupea harengus (Atlantic herring), 2079 nucleotides long. NCBI's taxonomy places the organism in Eukaryota, Metazoa, Chordata, Actinopteri, Clupeiformes, Clupeidae. The record is from Ensembl.